ACCUCCGUGGAGGAAAAAGUUCAGUUGGGCACGGGCUGCAUCGGUGAUGAGGAGCCUGCGGAGGCCAUCUCGGCCCGUCAUCGAUUCGGCGCGACGUCUUGGGGCGCGAGAACCUGCUCCACUUCGUCACCCGCCUCUGCGGCGCUGUGGCAGUCAAGAUGCUCAGGGCGGCGGCACCCAUCUUUCCUUGCCGAGUCGGCUUGCGGCGCCAAGGAGGACUUGGCAGGGGAGCGGACAAAAACCUCUGCUGGCAGGGGGAGCCGCUGACAAAACCCACAAGAUGAUCUAGGAUGACGUAGGAUGAACCAAUGUCACAAUUUCUGUAAUAAUACAGGUUCAACCUUGACGAAGAUUGUGUGUGUUAUAAGAGACGACAUGGCUGGUUUGCAAGCACGGCCACUUGCCAGGAAUUAUGAAGUUCAUAAUUACAAAAGCUGGUGCAGUGGUUCCCUGAUGGUGUCAUAUUUUCUUUAGAAAAACCAAAGACGGCUGACCUGCAAGGUAUCUCAUGUUUACUUGAUCUGUGCGUUCCACCUUUUGGUACACCUUAUUUUUGUAUCUGUCGUAUAUCCCUUCGUAAUAUUGGUGGCAUAUGUUUGGAGCUGAAUAUGAUGUAUAUAUCCUUUUAGCAUGCCUGGUACAUCAGUAGCUUUAUUCUGAAUUAUGUUACUGAUAAUAUGCAUUGUCCUUUGGCUGUUCUGAAUGUGUACCAGGGGUAUUUGGUUUCUUUAGAAAAAAAUGUUCAAAGCUAGGGUAUAUUUUCUUAAUAUGGUCCAUACAAUUAAGCACACAAUACAAUUACAGAAAUGAUCGUGCAUUUCCAGUGCUCCGACGAGAACUCUGUUAAAACCUGGUGCUUCUCCAUUGUGUGGUUCUGAAACAGAUGCCUCUCCAAGAAAGAAUUAACCGAUGAUAUGAGAGCUACCUCCGUCUCAAGCUCAGGCCAUGUCACUUAUCCAUUUUGUGCUUCAGAAGCAACUAGCCUUCUUAAGAAAUAAGCAAGUGAGAAUGUCGGAACAUGAUCUGUCGUAAGCUCAGA
Lolium rigidum is the source of this 1039-nucleotide long non-coding RNA. RefSeq lists it as uncharacterized. The transcript has 3 exons. The record is from RefSeq and is a predicted model, not a curated record. NCBI's taxonomy places the organism in Eukaryota, Viridiplantae, Streptophyta, Magnoliopsida, Poales, Poaceae.